CGGCAAUGAUUAUAACUUACCCGCGCUUCUGAUAUCCAUAUAUGUGAAGUACAAGGGAAAAUAAUGGUUGAAUUUCUUAAUAUGAGCCG
RNAcentral lists this small nucleolar RNA (89 nucleotides) under Ananas comosus (pineapple). Lineage: Eukaryota; Viridiplantae; Streptophyta; Magnoliopsida; Poales; Bromeliaceae. The record is from RNAcentral.